UACAGGUUUGGUCCUAGCCUUAGUAUUAAUUUUGAUUAUAAUUAUACAUGCAAGUCUCAGCGCCCCAGUGAAAAUGCCCCUUACUCCUGUUUCGGAGACAAGGGAGCAGGUAUCAGGCACUAAAAAGCCCAUGACAUCUUGUUAAGCCACACCUCCACGGGAACUCAGCAGUAAUAGACAUUAAACAAUAAGCGAUAAGCUUGAUUUAGUAAUAUGUAUUAGAGUUGGUAANUCUCGUGCCAGCCGCCGCGGUUAUACGGAAAACUCAAAUUAAUUAACACGGCAUAAAGGGUAGUUAAAAAUAUCUUAAAUAAGAUUUAAAACUUGCUAAGUGGUUNUAUAUUAUGCAAAUCUUAUACUCAAAAACGAAAGUCAUCUUAUAUUACUUGAAGCUACUACAGCCGAGGGACAAACUGGGAUUAGAUACCCCACUAUGCUCGACUUUAAACUUUGAUUCGCCAGAGUACUACGAGCCACAGCUUAAAACUCAAAGGACUUGGCGGCGCCCUAUACCCCCCUAGAGGAGCCUGUUCUGUAAUCGAUACUCCCCGAUAAACCUCACCACCUCUCGUUAAUACAGCCUAUAUACCACCGUCCUCAGCUUACCCCUCAAAGGGAGAAUAGUAAGCAAAAUCAUUUUAAAUAAAAAAGUCAGGUCAAGGUGUAGCAAAUGAGGCGGAAAGAAAUGGGCUACAUUUUCUAUUAUAGAAUAUACAGAAUGUUUUAUGAAACAUGACAUGAAGGAGGAUUUAGAAGUAAAAGGAAAAAAGAGUGUUCUUUUUAAACCGGCAAUAGAGCGCGCACACACCGCCCGUCACCCUCCUUACAUACAGGAAAAAUUAAAUAAAUAUUAAUAUAACAAAAGGAGAUAAGUCGUAACAUGGUAAGCCUACCGGAAGGUGGGCUUGGAUAU
Molecule: non-coding RNA, 913 nt
Filed under: Aneides flavipunctatus (black salamander)
Lineage: Eukaryota; Metazoa; Chordata; Amphibia; Caudata; Plethodontidae
Source: RNAcentral